GUUGCCCGUCCCGGCGAGGCUAAGUGCCAACAGGUACGGAGCCGCAGCGAAAGCGAGUCGGAACACGGCGUCCCUGUCGGGGCGGGCAGACGCGAAACCAGGUGAUCUACCCAUGGGCAGGAUGAAGGACAGGUAACACUGUCUGGAGGUCCGAACCGGUAAGCGUUGAAAAGCUUUCGGAUGACCUGUGGGUAGGAGUGAAAGGCCAAUCAAACCUGGAGAUAGCUCGUACUCCCCGAAAUGCAUUUAGGUGCAGCCUCGGGUGCGAGUACCGUGGAGGUAGAGCGACUGAUAGGAUGCGAGGGCUUCACCGCCUGUCAAGUCCUGACAAACUCCGAAUGCCACGGCACGUUGCCCGGGAGUGAGGGCGCGGG
This 374-nucleotide ribosomal RNA is filed under the name Acinetobacter entericus. Its description in RNAcentral is "Acinetobacter sp. BIT-DXN8 partial 23S ribosomal RNA". It matches the Rfam family "Bacterial large subunit ribosomal RNA", at positions 627 to 995 of the family's 2925-position model. The record is from RNAcentral. Lineage: Bacteria; Pseudomonadati; Pseudomonadota; Gammaproteobacteria; Moraxellales; Moraxellaceae.